This 207-nucleotide ribosomal RNA is filed under the name uncultured bacterium. RNAcentral describes it as "partial 16S ribosomal RNA". It matches the Rfam family "Bacterial small subunit ribosomal RNA", at positions 568 to 774 of the family's 1533-position model. The record is from RNAcentral.
UGCGUAGGUGGCGGGGUUAGUCAGGUGUGAAAUCUCGGGGCUCAACCCCGAAACUGCACUUGAUACUGCCUUGCUAGAGUACUGGAGAGGAGAUUGGAAUUUACGGUGUAGCAGUGAAAUGCGUAGAUAUCGUAAGGAAGACCAGUGGCGAAGGCGAAUCUCUGGACAGUUACUGACACUGAGGCACGAAGGCCAGGGAGGCAAACG